UUAUAAGAUACGUUUGUCGCAUGGCAUUUGUAUUAAACGCUCCGGCGCCAUAGGAUGGACCCGCGUCCCAUUAGCUAGUUGGUGAGAUAACAGCUCACCAAGGCCACGAUGGGUAACCGGUCUGAGAGGGCGAACGGUCACACUGGAACUGAGACACGGUCCAGACUCCUACGGGAGGCAGCAGUGGGGAAUAUUGCGCAAUGGGGGCAACCCUGACGCAGCAAUACCGCGUGAGUGAAGAAGGUUUUCGGAUCGUAAAGCUCUGUUAUUGGGGAAGAAAAAAAGACGGUACCCAAGAAGAAAGUUCCGGCUAACUACGUGCCAGCAGCCGCGGUAAUACGUAGGGAACAAGCGUUGUCCGGAUUUACUGGGCGUAAAGGGCGCGCAGGCGGUUUUUUAAGUCAGAUGUGAAAGGCCACAGCUCAACUGUGGACAUGCAUUUGAAACUGAAAGACUUGAGUAUUGGAGAGGCAAGUGGAAUUCCUAGUGUAGCGGUGAAAUGCGUAGAUAUUAGGAGGAACACCGGUGGCGAAGGCGGCUUGCCGGACAAAUACUGACG
Molecule: ribosomal RNA, 559 nt
Filed under: uncultured bacterium
Lineage: Bacteria
Description: bacterial SSU rRNA
Rfam family: Bacterial small subunit ribosomal RNA
Source: RNAcentral